Orcinus orca (killer whale) is the source of this 350-nucleotide long non-coding RNA. RefSeq lists it as uncharacterized. The record is from RefSeq and is a predicted model, not a curated record. NCBI's taxonomy places the organism in Eukaryota, Metazoa, Chordata, Mammalia, Artiodactyla, Delphinidae. The transcript is spliced from 3 exons.
CAGUGAGCCAAUGAAGAAGUCACUGUUGUUAUCCCUGUUACGUGGAUGAGGAAACUGAGACAUGGAAAGAUGAAAUCAACUGCCCAAGAUUUCAGCUGGGUCUCACUCAGGACACCACCAUACAUUUAGUUGUCAUGUCUCCUUAGGCUCGUCUUAUCUGUGACAGGUUCUCAGAUCUUCCUUGUUUUGAAUGACCUGGACAGCUUUGGUCAGAAUCAGACGUGCUCGCAGCAGCAUGGCAGCCAAAUGUCAAGUGCUGCACCUCUCAGCGUGGAGACACUCAGAAACCCUGGCUGGAAAAGGAACUUGGAUUCACCUCUUGAAGUGCACACCAUGCGGGAGAGCUGGGC